RNAcentral lists this long non-coding RNA (210 nucleotides) under Elaeis guineensis (African oil palm). Its description in RNAcentral is "long non-coding RNA (EGUI_LNC015625)". The record is from RNAcentral. Lineage: Eukaryota; Viridiplantae; Streptophyta; Magnoliopsida; Arecales; Arecaceae.
CUCAGCGUAAGUUGGUAAUCCAUUUUUCAUUUGUGCUUCUUCUACUGGCUUUUUCUAACCAUUCUUUUUUCUUUUCAGCUAGCACACGACAUGUCUCAUUGGAAAGAGGGUACCGAGGGAUUGUAGAUCUCCGUUGGAAGGUUACAGCUGCAAAUGCUGACAAAGUUGCCACUGUAUAGUGCCUUCAAGCGGCAACUGAGCGGGAAGGAA